AGUGAACGCUGGCGGUAGGCCUAACACAUGCAAGUCGAACGGCAGCACAGUAAGAGCUUGCUCUUACGGGUGGCGAGUGGCGGACGGGUGAGGAAUACAUCGGAAUCUACUUUUUCGUGGGGGAUAACGUAGGGACACUUGCGCUAAUACCGCAUACGACCUACGGGUGAAAGCAGGGGAUCUUCGGACCUUGCGCGAUUGAAUGAGCCGAUGUCGGAUUAGCUAGUUGGCGGGGUAAAGGCCCACCAAGGCGACGAUCCGUAGCUGGUCUGAGAGGAUGAUCAGCGACACUGGAACUGAGACACGGUCCAGACUCCUACGGGAGGCAGCAGUGGGGAAUAUUGGACAAUGGGCGCAAGCCUGAUCCAGCCAUACCGCGUGGGUGAAGAAGGCCUUCGGGUUGUAAAGCCCUUUUGUUGGGAAAGAAAAGCAGCAGGUUAAUACCCCGCUGUUCUGACGGUACCCAAAGAAUAAGCACCGGCUAACUUCGUG
RNAcentral lists this ribosomal RNA (492 nucleotides) under uncultured bacterium. RNAcentral's name for it is "partial 16S ribosomal RNA". It matches the Rfam family "Bacterial small subunit ribosomal RNA", at positions 29 to 507 of the family's 1533-position model. The record is from RNAcentral.